RNAcentral lists this ribosomal RNA (496 nucleotides) under uncultured Campylobacterota bacterium. RNAcentral describes it as "uncultured Epsilonproteobacteria bacterium partial 16S ribosomal RNA". It matches the Rfam family "Bacterial small subunit ribosomal RNA", at positions 9 to 504 of the family's 1533-position model. The record is from RNAcentral. Lineage: Bacteria; Pseudomonadati; Campylobacterota.
GAGUUUGAUCAUGGCUCAGGACGAACGCUGGCGGCGUGCUUAAUACAUGCAAGUCAACGAGAAACAGGGUGCUUGCAUCCUGUGGACAGUGGCGCACGGGUGCGUAACACGUAGGUAAUCUGCCCUUAGGACUGACAUAACUCCGGGAAACCGAAGCUAAUAUCAGAUAAUGCAGCGGCUCGGCAUCGAGACAGUUGUUAAAUCUUCGGAGCCUAAGGAUGAACCUGCGUCCCAUUAGGUAGUUGGUGAGGUAAAUGCUCACCAAGCCUGCGAUGGGUAGCUGGUCUGAGAGGAUGAUCAGCCACACUGGAACUGAGACACGGUCCAGACUCCUACGGGAGGCAGCAGUAAGGAAUAUUGCUCAAUGGGAGAAAUCCUGAAGCAGCAACGCCGCGUGGAGGAUGAAGGCAUAUUUGUUGUAAACUCCUGUAAGAAGGGAAAAAUGGGUCUGUUUACAGACUUUGAUUGUACCUUCAGAGUAAGCCCGGCUAACUAC